GGAGACGUAUCGAAGCGGUCAUAACGGGGCUGACUCGAAAUCAGUUUGCCGGGUUUCCGGCACGUGGGUUCGAAUCCCACCGUCUCCGCCA
Molecule: transfer RNA, 91 nt
Filed under: Clostridiales bacterium
Lineage: Bacteria; Bacillati; Bacillota; Clostridia; Eubacteriales
Description: tRNA-Ser
Rfam family: tRNA
About the family: Transfer RNA (tRNA) molecules are approximately 80 nucleotides in length. Their secondary structure includes four short double-helical elements and three loops (D, anti-codon, and T loops). Further hydrogen bonds mediate the characteristic L-shaped molecular structure. tRNAs have two regions of fundamental functional importance: the anti-codon, which is responsible for specific mRNA codon recognition, and the 3' end, to which the tRNAs corresponding amino acid is attached (by aminoacyl-tRNA synthetases). tRNAs cope with the degeneracy of the genetic code in two manners: having more than one tRNA (with a specific anti-codon) for a particular amino acid; and 'wobble' base-pairing, i.e. permitting non-standard base-pairing at the 3rd anti-codon position.
Source: RNAcentral